AACGCAAAUUGCACUCCCUGGUAUUCCGGGGAGUAUGCCUGUUUGAGGGUCGUUAGAAUAAAAAUCGAGGCGUCGCUCUUUUUUUUAAGGGUGAUCGUGUCGGAAUUGAGCCGUCUUUCAAAUGUUAAUUCAUGUCAAAGUGGCUUAAAAUUCAUCCAUCCGGUACGAUUAAAGCGUAUUUAAGAUCAAUUUUGAUUAAGAACGCGCGAUGACGUACCAUCUCAUGUAGUACGUUUGACUUGGCGUCGUCAGGAUCAUUCGUAUACGAUACUCAACUUUUGACCUCAAAUCAGGUAAGAAUACCCGCUGAACUUAA
RNAcentral lists this unclassified non-coding RNA (316 nucleotides) under uncultured Funneliformis. RNAcentral's name for it is "sequence contains ITS2". The stretch from base 1 to 52 matches the Rfam family "5.8S ribosomal RNA", at positions 103 to 154 of the family's 154-position model. The record is from RNAcentral. Lineage: Eukaryota; Fungi; Glomeromycota; Glomeromycetes; Glomerales; Glomeraceae.